Molecule: ribosomal RNA, 253 nt
Filed under: uncultured bacterium
Lineage: Bacteria
Description: partial 16S ribosomal RNA
Rfam family: Bacterial small subunit ribosomal RNA
Source: RNAcentral
UACAGGGGGUGCAAACGUUGCUCGGAAUUAUUGGGCGUAAAGCGCGCGUAGGCGGCCUGCUAAGUCGAACGUGAAAUCCCUGGGCUCAACCCAGGAACUGCGUCCGAUACUGGUUGGCUUGAAUCCGGGAGAGGGACGUGGAAUUCCAGGUGUAGCGGUGAAAUGCGUAGAUAUCUGGAGGAACACCGGUGGCGAAGGCGGGUCUCUGGGCCGAUACUGACGCUGAGGAGCGAAAGCGUGGGGAGCAAACAGG